RNAcentral lists this ribosomal RNA (470 nucleotides) under Theileria mutans. RNAcentral's name for it is "SSU rRNA". It matches the Rfam family "Eukaryotic small subunit ribosomal RNA", at positions 562 to 1080 of the family's 1831-position model. Lineage: Eukaryota; Apicomplexa; Aconoidasida; Piroplasmida; Theileriidae. The record is from RNAcentral.
UGGUGCCAGCAGCCGCGGUAUUCCAGCUCCAAUAGCGUAUAUUAAAAUUGUUGCAGUUAAAAAGCUCGUAGUUGAAUUUCUGCCGCAUCGCCGCGGCCCCCCCGGGCCCUGGGGUUUAUUUAGACUCGCUUGCUUCUCCGAAUGUUUACUUUGAUUGAUAAAAGUGCUCAGAUCAGGCCCUUGCCUUGCCUUCUUUAGCAUGGAAUGAUAUAGUAAGACUUUACUUCUAUUUUGUUUUGUUGGCUCCAAGUAACUGGUUAAUAGGAACAGUUGGGGGCAUUCGGAUUUCGCUGUUAGAGGUGAAAUUCGAAAAUUUGUUAUUGACUAACCACUAACUACUGAUUUGCCAAUGAUGUUUUCUUUAUUCAUUAACCAAAAUUAAGGGAUCGAAGAUCAUAAAAUACCGUAUACCUCCUAACCCUUAACCAUGCCCACUGCAGAUUGGAGGUCGGCAGUUUUUACUACUCCUU